GAUGAACGCUGGCGGCGUGCCUAAUACAUGCAAGUCGAGCGAACAGACGAGGAGCUUGCUCCUCUGACGUUAGCGGCGGACGGGUGAGUAACACGUGGAUAACCUACCUAUAAGACUGGGAUAACUUCGGGAAACCGGAGCUAAUACCGGAUAAUAUAUUGAACCGCAUGGUUCAAUAGUGAAAGACGGUUUUGCUGUCACUUAUAGAUGGAUCCGCGCCGCAUUAGCUAGUUGGUAAGGUAACGGCUUACCAAGGCAACGAUGCGUAGCCGACCUGAGAGGGUGAUCGGCCACACUGGAACUGAGACACGGUCCAGACUCCUAAGGGAGGCAGCAGUAGGGAAACUUCCGCAAUGGGCGAAAGCAUGACGGAGCAACGCCGCGUGAGUGAUGAAGGUCUUCGGAUCGUAAAACUCUGUUAUUAGGGAAGAACAAUUGUGUAAGUAACUAUGCACGUCUUGACGGUACCUAAUCAGAAAGCCACGGCUAACUACGUG
This 497-nucleotide ribosomal RNA is filed under the name uncultured bacterium. RNAcentral's name for it is "partial 16S ribosomal RNA". It matches the Rfam family "Bacterial small subunit ribosomal RNA", at positions 28 to 507 of the family's 1533-position model. The record is from RNAcentral.